RNAcentral lists this long non-coding RNA (827 nucleotides) under Glycine max (soybean). RNAcentral's name for it is "long non-coding RNA (GMAX_LNC001738)". Lineage: Eukaryota; Viridiplantae; Streptophyta; Magnoliopsida; Fabales; Fabaceae. The record is from RNAcentral.
UGCAGCUGGUCCUUCAGAUGGCGGAGUCGAGAUGGUCGAGGGAGAGAUGUUGGGAGUAGCAGCUGAUGGAAGUGGCGAUUCCGAAGGAGAAGAAGUAGGUGGUGCCGGAGGAGAAUUUCCGGUGGCGGGUGAAGCCGCUGGUGACACAGACGACGGAGACGGCGACAACGCCCUCCUAGGUGGAGUGGCCACCGGCGUGUGGGUGGGGGACAAAGCCGGCGACGAAGCUGGAGAUUGAGCCAUGGUGGAGCUCAACAACAAUGCAGCAACCAUCAUAAGAACAUAGGUACGACCCAUUUUUGAGAAAGAAAACACAGCAAAGGAGAGAAGGAAGUAGUUUUUGUCUUUUUUUGUUGUUGUUGUUGUUGUGAUGUGUGAGAAGAAAGAGGGAGAGUAAGAGGGUAUUUAUAGAGGAGAAAAAAGAAGAAGGGUGGUGUGGUAAGUAAAGUAACCGCGUGAAGAAGGAGACGAGGUUGGGUUAAAUGGAUCUGGGCCGAGUGAAGGUCACGCGGCACAGCUGUCUCCGAAUCUGAAACGUACGCGUGGUCAUCAAAAUAAAUAUUACCGUUGGAUAUAGGGAAUCUUCUGGUAGCGGUCGAAAACGGAAACUAAUAGAUAACUGAGUUGACUGCGUAAACAUCUUGUUUGUUUCUUUUGACUACUACAGUUGUUGUUGUACAGGAGAAGAACUAGCCGUUGUUAACAACUCGUUUAAGAAAAGAAGAAACAAAUUCUGAGUUGUUCACCAACUCAUGUUGUUGCUCUUGUACGUGUUCCACACUUGAAUAGGGCAUCAAUGUUCAAUGACAAUAAGCGCGUUUAACCCA